CAGCUCUUGGCCUCUGGCCGCCCUUGGACGCCUAAGGCAUAUCAAGGAAGUUCCAGAGGAACAAACCCACUCCCGUCCUAUUGAGGUAUGUUUACUAUGCCAGUCUUAUAGAUGAUUCCAAGCCCGUAGAAUGCUGUCUUUGUACAUAGCCCAUCUUCCUUAAAAAGGCCAGAGCCACAAAUUCACAUCAAGGUUUUCCUGACAAGGUAACACUUAAGCAGCACUGUUUGGGAGAAUUGUAGUGAACUCCAACAAUUUAUGGAGAACUUAUUGUGCCAGGCGCUAGGGUAGUUCUCGGAAGAGUCAUCAGAAAGUAGAAAAGGCGGGGCGCCUGGGUGACUCAAUAGGUUAAGGGUCCGACUGCGGCUCAGGUCAUGAUCUCAUGGUUUGUUGGUUCAAGCCCCAUGACGGGCUCUGUGCUGACAGCUCAGAGCCUGGAGCCUGCUUCGGAUUCUGUGUCUCCCUCUCUCUCUGUUUCUCCCCUGCUUGUGCUCUGUCUCUGUCAAAAAUAAACAAACACUUAAAAAAGAAGAAAAAGAAAGGAGAAAAGGCUGCUGAUGGCUUUGGCAAAGCAGAGACAUGUUUGUGUGGAUGGUGGGUGGUGGCAAGGUAACAAGUCAAGGCUAUAUCAGGAUGGGACAUUUUGGGUCAACACUUGGAAUGAUUACAGAAAUUUUUUUUUAGGUGGCAACAUUUCACACUCUUCCCAUGAUCUGGGAUUGAUCACAGUAAUUAGCAUGUAUUGAGAGCUUAUAGUUUCUUUACAUUUUUAAAAAAACUUUAUCUCUUAAGAGAGAAAGAGUGUGAGUAGAGGAGGGACAGAGAGAGAGAGAGAGAGAGCGAGAGAGAAUCCCAAGCAGGCUCUGCACUGCUAGCACUGAGCCAGAUGCAGGGCUCGAACCCACCAACCAUGACCUGAGCCUAAAUCCAAUGCUUAAUCAACUGAGCCACCCAGAGCUACUAGCUCACUUAACCCCCAUCAUACACUUACGUGGAGGGUACUAUGGUCAUCAACCUCAUUUUACUGAUGGGGAGAUUGAGGUUUAGAUUAACAGACUUUCCCAGACCAACACAGAGUUGCUGGUGUAGUGCAGAAACCAUAGUCUUUCUUGCUGCUACAACCCUUUGCUUCCUCCUCGGUCAGGCCUUUAAGUUGCCUGUUUACUUGUCCUUACUCAUCUUAUUCUUCCUCAAUCUCCCUACCUAGUCACUUUCCCCAGGCACUGUCAGCAAUACCUGUUCAUUUCAGUAUCCUAUUUAUUUGCACCAAGCAGCACCUGUCAUUUAUUCACUCAUCAAACUUUUUACAAGCACACCUCUGUGCCUCAUUGGUCUAGGCGGUGGGUUUUCCACAGUGAACAAGACAAUGGAAUUUGUGUUCUGGUAGAGAAGGCAGACUGAAACAAAUAGGCAAGUAGCUUUAUGACCUGAUGUUGGGCAGUAACAGAAAACAAUUCAGAGAAAGGGAAUAGAGAAUGAUGUGGGAAGUCUUCUCUGAGAAGAGGGCAUUGGAGGAGACCUGACUGAAGUAAGGGAACAGGCCAUGUGAGUAUCUGGAGGAACAACAGCCCAUAGGUGGGAGUAGCAAGUACAAAGGCCCCGAGGCAGGAACAUGGUCAGUGGGAAAAGGAAUACUGAAGAGGUUGGUGUGCCGGAGGUCAGUGGAGAGCAGAGAAUGAAGUCACCAAGGGCCUAGUAAGCCAUGUGUGAUGGAAACAUACUGCAAGGCCCUGAGCAGGCCAGUAACACCAUCUGACUUAAAGUACCCUCUUCUCACACCAUGCAUGUCCUAGUUAGCAUUUAAAGAAUCAACCAAUCAUGGCUCUCAGGCCUGCGGGUCCCCACCCUCUACACAUUUCUCUCUGCUUUAUUGUUACUGCUUUCCCUCCUUCCACAAAACAUCUUUGCAUUUCUUCAUCCUUACCCCAUCCCUUCCCAUUUCCCUGAGGAGACCUUCAUCCAUUUUUUUAUUCCCUGGCGUCUCCACCUCCAUCCUGUCCUUCCUUACUUGUGCCUUCCCCUUGGGUAGGCCAUGUAGAUUCAUUAGAAUCACCUGGGCCACAGACUUUCUGAGGGUAGGCCUUAGGAAACUAGUAUUUUUUAAUAGCACCCAGAUGCUUCUAGGAUGUUACAGGAGUUGCAAACCACUGGUCUCAGUCUAUAAACCUGCUCAAGGCUCUCCAACCUAAAAAAACCUUUCACUUAACACUGUGUUCUUCUGUCUCUCUCUCUUCACAGCCUAAGUUCCUGAAAGAUCAUCUAGUCCAACUAGACUUCACCAGGCACAUGAAUCACCCAAGAAGCUUGUUAAACUGCAAAAUCUGAUUCAGAAGAGCUGGCUGCGGCUCGAGGUUCUGCAUGCCUCAUGGACUCCCAGGUGGGGUGAGUGUAGCUGGACCACUCUUUGUAGCGAAGGGCUGGACUUCUGGUCUUGACUCUCUUGCUUCCAACUCACCUUUUUUCUCAUUGCCAUGUAGCUUCACCCCACAGCCCCGCUGAAAUUUGUUCCCCCUGAUGUUACUUGUGACCCACCGGCUACCUCUUUUCUGAGGCAGCAGAUAUAAUGGUGAAGAGCACAGACCUGGGAAACAGAUAACCUAGGUUCAGAAUACAGCCCUCCCACUUCCUAGCUGGGUGGCCUCUCUGUGCCUCAGUGUCCUCGUUUUAGGGAGGGAACAAUAAUGAUAACACCCAUCUCACUUGGUGGUCUUGAAAAUUAAGGGAGUUAAUACAUUGAGAGCUGUUAGAACAGUGCCUGGCACACAAGAACUUCACAAGUACUGGUGUUUUUCAUUUUACGAGAACUCCUAACUGACAGCAUUUGACUCCAUUCACUCCACCAUGCUGAAAACUCUCUUCUCCCUUAGCUUCCAGAACACCACCCUAUCUCUUAGUUCUCUACCUACCUCUGGCUGCUCCUCUCCUUGCCGCCCUGGUAUGAUGGUGUUUCCCAGGGUUCUGGCUUAGCCUCUUUGGUUUUCUCAACGCACCUGGGCUCAGUGGGUAACCCAGCUUACCCAGUGCCUUGAAUUCAGUAUCUAAGUGUGGAACUCUCCUGAAUCUAGAUCUUCAUCCCAGGUCUUUCAGUUUCCUAUCCACAUAUCGCACUGCCUGCUCUAGGUCUCCACAGAGAUUCAUUAAUUCAUUCAACACAUAUGUAUUGGUUACCUACUCUGUGCCUGACUGAAUGCCAAGUGCUGGGGAUAUAACAGUGAAGUAGUUAGACCCGAGCCAAGACCUCUGGGAACUCAUGAUCUGGAAUAAAGAUUCAAUACUAAUUCUGCAGUUAUUGAUUAAAGUGCAUUCAGGAUUAGCAAUACAAAAGAGAGGUGCAGGCUGCUGUGGGGGGUGUAUAAUGGGAACCCUGACCUUGUCCGGGAGUGACUUAUACAUACUCCAGACUCAGCACGUCCCAAACCAAACUCAUCGCUUCCCCCAAGCCUACCCUAUCCCUCUUCUGCUUGUGUUGUUUCGCUCAAUGAACAGCACACCCAUCGUCCCAUCCAGGCCAAGACCUGGGUGUCAAUACCCAUACUAUCCCUUGCUGACUCCUUCCACUCACCGGGAGACUUCUCCUUUCUAGAAAAGUAGCCUUCUCGGGUAACUCCUGGCACUCUAUAAAUUCCUACUGCCCAGUGCUCAAGCAAUCUGAUUUUACCUUCACUGGUAAAGUUGCACUUAGAAAAAAAGGAGCAAAUAAGGGUGUGAGGUCCAUCCCCAGAAACACAGACCCAGUCUGUGUCCUGCGGCACUUGACCAUGGCACACCUGUCUGGGGAACAAGGGGAAGAUAGAGUCCUCGUGCCCUUUUUUCACUGAUCCUUGGCUUAUAACUUCUCCCAAUAAAACCCCGUUUUUUAAUCCACACCGUGUAAAGUAAAAUGCACUCUGAUCCAUGUUGUGUGACAGACACAAAGUGUCUGUGUUUUAUAAAAAAAAAAAAAUUAUUAUUCCCAGUAUAAAAGCAAUGCCUACUUAUGGUGAUUAGUAUCUUUAUUAGACCAGCUCUGAAGCCUGAUUUGAGACAUUGCAAAUAACAAUAAUAAUAAUAGUAACAAUAUCUGAGUGUAGUAGACAUUUAUCUUUUUUUUGAGCUAUCCCACAUUUGAACUCCCUGUCUGUUUGGAAGGAUCCCCAUUGUAUGAACCUUGUGGGAAGCCCAGUCAAGAGCCAGACAGUGCUCCCUGAGCUCAGGCAGCUAGAACAUGGGCACGUGAUUGUUGUUAGUGAAUCAGGGGAUCCUGCCCAGAAAUCUGGACCAUGAAAGAGUGACACAAAGACAGAGGGACAGUUAGUAUAUUUGUUAUAGCAAUGCGGGCAUCAGGAGUCCAGCAGCAGCAAUGGCUACGAGUGCCUGGGUAGCAGUUCCAGUGACAGUCUCCUAACCAAAUCGUUGACCUUGGUUUGACCUUGGUUGGGUUCUGUCCUACUAAGCCUUCCUUUGCUUCCAAAAGAUAGUGAGAAACACCUUAUGAUCUUAUAAUAAAGCCUUUUCUGCUUAAGGUAGCUGGACUCAAUUUCCACUCUUGAUAAUCAAGUAUCUUUUUUAUCUUUUUUUUCUUUUUUUAAAUGUUCAUUUUUUAUUUAUAUUUGAGAAGGAGAGAGACAGAGCAUGAGCAGGGGAGGGGCUAAGAGACAGAAACAGAAUCUGAAGCAGGCACAGAGCCUGACGUGGGGCUCAAACUCACGAGCAAUGAGAUCAUGACCUGAGCCGAAGUCUGACACUUAACUGACUGAGCCACCCAGGCACCCCUGCAAUCAAGAAUCUUGACUAGGGGCGCCUGGGUGGCUCAGUCGGUUAAGCGUCCGACUUCAGCUCAGGUCACGAUCUCGCGGUCUGUGAGUUCGAGCCCCGCGUCGGGCUCUGGGCUGAUGGCUCAGAGCCUGGAGCCUGCUUCUGAUUCUGUGUCUCCCUCUCUCUCUGCCCCUCCCCCGUUCAUGCUCUGUCUCUCUCUGUCUCUAAAAAUAAAUAAACAUUAAAAAAAAUUUAAAAAAAAAAAAAAAAAGAAUCUUGACUGAUAUGAUUGUUACAGAAAAAUUGGAAAGUUCUAAAAAGUAGAAUGAGAAAAAAACUCAUUGCCCUACAUCCAGAAAAAGUUAUUAACAAUAAUAAUAAAACUUCCAGUCUUUUACUAUAUACACAUUUUGACAUAAUUAUGAUUACAUGAUUAUAUAAAAAUUUAUGUACUCUGAGCUGAUUUUAAAAAUUGUAUUAUUUAAAAGGUGACAUAUAAUCAUUGUAGAAAAUUUGAGGAUACCAAAAAAUAAAAAAUAAAAACCAACGCAAAAAGCUACAACCCAAAGAUAACUACUGUUCAUAAUUGGUAUAUUUCCUAAAAAUUUUUUCUGCAUUUUUACAAAGCUGAGAAUACUGAUUAUUCCACAUGUUUAUGCAUAGUUAACUGAGCAUUUUUAACAGUUCUAGAUAAAAGAUGGCAUGAAGAGGAGCUUGGGGAUGGAUAUGGAUAAUAUCUGCCCUUUGUGUGGUAAAUACCAGUUAAAAAGCCUUAAUGGAUUCAGGGCUUUAAAGAUGCAGAAAAUCAUUAUGCAAGUUUCUUGGCAGUGAACAUGUGUAUUAUGUGCCCUUCCCAACUCUGCUUCUAGUGACAAAAAUACAGAAGACUUUUUGUUCAGUGAUUUUCCUGGCACAGGGUUCCAAGCUUUUAAAAAGUUUGUCCAUUAUUGGCAAGUGCUGCAAUACAAUAGGAAGCGCUAUUGUUUUUAGUGUCAUCAAACAUGGGCAAAGACACCACAUGGACUGUGGAAGGAAUUAUGUAGCUUGAGAAACACUGGUCCAGGAACUGAGGAAGGAGUGGAAUGGAAGAGAAACAGCUGACAAGCUGACUCUGCAGAGUGGCAGAGGGCCUGAGUCCUGGGACUAAACUGCCAAGGUUUGACUCUUGGUUCUUACUCCUUAGUUAUCUUUUGACUUUGCGGAAGUUACUUUAAACUCUCUGGGCCUGGGGUGCCUGGGUGGCUCAGUUGGUUGGGCUUCUGACUUUGGCUCAGGAAAUGAUCUCACGGUCCAUGAGUUCAAGCUCAGCAUCAGAAGCCUGCUUCUGAUUCUGUAUCUCCCACUCUUUCUGCCCCUCCCUACCCAUGCUCUGUCUCUCUCAAUCUCAAAAACGAAUAAGUGUUAAAAAAAAUUUUUUUUAAACUCUCUGGGCCUAUUUUCUCACCUGGAAAAUGAGAAAUGAUAUUCACUAAUUUUUUUUUCCAGACUUUUGCAACUAUCUUCAAAUUGAGAGUGGGUAGGUGGAUGAUAAGAGUAUUGCCUAUUUCAUAGAACACUAUUUAAUCAGAGAGGGCUAAAUAAAUGAAUAACUAUAAAGUGCUCAGCUCUUUUGCUGAGCUGCAGUAUCCACAUAUGACACAGAAUUCAUCUGGAUCAUGGAAUUUGAGAAACCUUGUAAGUCCUUUAUAUCACAAUUUUCCAUUUCCUGAAUUAUUCUUUUUUUUAUUGAGUUUUUGAAUUAAAACGUAUUCAGAAAAGUGCACAAACCAUAAAUGUAUGGCUUGAUUAUAACAAAGCAAACACCCUUAUGAAGCCACCACCCAGGUCAAGAAACAGAUGACUAACAUCAGAAAUCUCUCCUAGCCCCUCUUUGUCUUUAUCUCCUGCUAUCCAGACUUCUAACACCAUAGAGUCAUUUUGUCUGUUUUUGAACUUUUUAUAAAUGAAAUAAAUGUGUACUGUUCCACAUGAUGUUUAUGGAAUUCAUCUGGGUUGCUGCAUGCAGCAGAAGUUUGUUCAUUCUCAUUGCUGAAUGUAUUCAGUUGUAGGAUUACAUCAUGCUGAAUUUGUGCAUUCUACUGUUGAGGACCAUUUGGGUUGUUUCUAGUUUAGGGUAUUUAGAAUGGUGCUGGUAUGAAUAUUCUUAGUCCUUUAAUCUAUGAACAUGGUACAUCCCCUCCUCCCUUGAUUUCGGUUUUCUUUGAUUUUUCUCAGUAAUAUAGUAUGUGGUCUUGUACACCUUUCACUAGAUGUAUUCCUAUAAAUUUGUUGCUUUUUUAAUGUUACUGUAAAUGGUCUCAUUGUUGAAUUUCACUAACUGUAGGUGGUUAGUAGAAGUACUACUGAUUUUGGUAUACGGAGAAUGGAUCCAGCAACAUUGCUAAAUUUAAUUAAUAAAUUAAUUGCCUUCCUAUUUGACUCAUUUUUGUUAUUAUUUCCUUUCUUCCACUUUACUUGGGCUUAGUUUUCUGUCUUAUUUUUUUAAAAAAAUUGUUUUACAUGUAUUUAUUUUUGAGAGACAGAGAGGCAGAGCACAAGUGGGGAGGGGCAGAGAGAGAAGGAGACAGAAUCUGAAGCAGGCUCCAGGCUCCGAGCUGUCAUCACAGAGCCUGAUGCGGGGCUUGAACUCACAAACCGUGACAUCAUGACCUGAGCCGAAGUCAGACACUCAACCAACUGAGCCACUCAAGUGCCCUCUGUUUUAUUUUUCUAACUUCUUCCUCCCUAUUGAUCUUAAGGUUGUGAGUUCGAGCCCCACGUUAGGUGUAGCAAUUACUUCAAAAUAAAAUCUUUACAAAAGAAGAAAAAGGACAGGAAGUUGAGAACACUGCACUGGCUACCUCAAAAAAGCAGCCCAUGACAGCAAAAGGGCAGUUGUGCAAUUUUCUAGUUGUUAAAUAUUUGGGGUCUCUGGAUGACAAAGAGAAUUAAGUGUAUUUCUAUCUUUAUGUAUGUCAGUGGAUUGCUUUGUUUCCUAGUUGAAGCAUGGACAAGCAAUUGUUUUGUCUUUCAGAAUCUCGUAAUUGAUUAUCUGUCAGUUUUGAUUUUCAGAAUUGUUUUGCAUUUUUGUGUUUUGUGUGUGUGUGUUUGUGCAAGAAGUACUGGAGGCUAUAAUAGGGGCUGCUCUCCAGGCACCAUUUAGAAUAAGACAUCUCCUGGAAUGAUCUCUCUAAAAUGCAACUCUGACCAUGCCUUACCCUCACUUAAAGGAUUUUAUUAAUUCUCUUUAUCUACUGAACAGGGACCAAACUCCUACCUUGGCAAAUGACCCUUUGUAACAAAGCCCUUGGCGGAGGCUCUGGUCAUACUCAACUAUUUACUGUUCUCCAAAACUGCCUUGCCCCCUCUCCUCUCCCAGCCUUUGGACACAUUACACACAUGGGCUGGCAUGCCCUCUUCACCUGCCUUUACUUGAAAGACUGCUCACCCUUUAAAAUUCAGCUCAGGCAUCACCUCCAAGAAGGAUUCCUGAUCUACCUCCUGAAGCUGAGUGAAAUCCUCUUCCCUGUGCUCUGACAGCCCCCCAGCCCCCAGGCAUUCUUCUGUCAAGCUACUUGCCACAUGGUGAUGGACAGUGUUAUGAGCUCUUAGGAGAAAGGUCUGUUUCUCAUGCAUCUCUUUAUUCCAUGCCCCACUUAUGGGAAGACCUCAGUAAUGGUUUGUUGAUCGAAGGGUGUAGCUCUUUUUGAACUAGGGGUUCCUAUCAGAUGUGAUUCUGGUGGUAUUAAGGCUUCCACACAAGUGAAGAUGCUAGUGCAUUAAAAAGGCAAGGAUAGCCUCAUUUACUCCCAUAAGAUCUACUGUCCCUACUAGCUGUGUCCUUGUGCAUGUGUGCAGACAAACAGACAAGCACUGCUUCCCACCCCCCAGCCCCGUGCAGGCCAAUUGCCCUCUUCCAUCCUCCAGGGCCAGCUCUGUCCCCAGCCUGUUACACUGAGGGUAGAAAAGAGGCAAGGUAAGGAACCAGUGUGAAAGCUGCUCCUUUUUGCUAUCAGAGCUGAGAGAGGGCUGCUCUAGCCAGUGAAGGAACCUAGCGUUGGGGUCAAACUAUCCUGGAAUCAAAUCCUGACUCUGAACCUCCUAUGUCACCUCAUGUGAGUUACUCAAGUUUCUCACCUCAGUUUUCUCAUCUGUACAGUGAAGUUAACAAUACCAAACUUGCAGUGGUUGUUAAAAUGAAAUGAGGCAACGUAAGUGAAGUAACAGCACGAUGCCUGACACAUAAUAGAUGCUCAAAAAAUGCUUAACAGUUACUAAAGGGGAUGAAGUUCCACCACAAAUACAACCUGUAGUCCCCAGUCAUCCUUGCACAGGACUUGUCUUCUACAACACACUGGGGGAUCCUUCAGGGCAGCAAGGACGUCCUAUUCUUCUGCGUGUCCCUCUAGGGUGCAGGGAGUUUUCCCGACUGAAGGAGUAGCUGGAGCAGGGGCUCUCAGGCCCUGCUGGGGACGACAGUGCAUGUCGACAGUGCAGUCAUAUAAAAUAAUCGCUCCUGGGGCACCUGGGUGGCUCAGUUGGUUAAGUGUCCAACUUCAGCUCAGGUCGUGAACUCCUGGUUCGUGAGUUUGAGCCCCACAUUAGGCUCUUGGCUGUCAGCGUAGAAGCCUACUUCAGCUCCUCUGUCCCCUUCUCUCUCUGCCCCUCACCUGCUUUCUCUCUCUCUUUUCAAAAAUAAAUAAACAUAAAAUAAAACAAAAUAAAAUAAAAUAAAAUAAAAUAAAAUAAAGUAAAGUAAAAUAAUCACUCCUUUCAGGUAUAGAGAUGCACUUGACACCAAUUCGGUGCAAUGGCCCUACCAAAGCCAGAAGCAAAAAAAAAAAAAAAAAAGAGAGAGAGAGAGAGAUGGCAAGGAGAGAGAAGAAUGAAAGACAAAUGCACCACAAUUCACUACAAGAGGAGGUGACCAGCAGUAAAUUGUUGGUGGGGUGUUGGAGCAGGCUGGAAAGUCAAGAAAGGCAUUUCAGUGGAAGUGAGUAUUGGAGCAGGAAUAGAAUUUCAAAAGCAAUUUGCAGAAGAAUUGAAUAAAGAAGUGGGGGAGAAGGAGAAAGAGUAAAUGGGAAGAGUGAUUCUGAGGCAGGCACCCAGGGCAGCCCAGUGCCUCGGGUGGGGCACUAGGCAGAGGGCAGGAAUAAGGGGUGUGGAAAAGCAGGGGCCAGGGGCCAGGGAAGCCCGAGGGAGGCAGAGGGUAAAGGCAGGGGAGCUCAGGCAGGGGAGCCAAACACAGCCUCCCCAAGGCCAUGGAUACAAGCAGAGGGCAAGGGAAGCUGCCUGUUCUGGGCCCGCAGUCCUUGCUGCCAUGGGGGAGGGAGGACCCUCCAGGGGCAGAGGUGAGCAUAGCAGUGCCGAGACAGGUGGAGAGGGGGGACGGCAAGGGAGGCCUUAGCAGCUUUCCGGUUUCUACAGUCACUGACUCAGUGGGUGGAGCAGUUCUGUGCAAGAGAAAUGUGGGGAGAAGAUCUGAAGUAGUUGAGAGACCUAUUUCUAAACUCCACAGGGAAGAAACCAGACGAAGCUGAAGAGGGGCAGAGGCCAGCAAGUCUUGUGGUAAGAUGAUGAUGGGCUUUUAUCCCUGCCAUGGCCAAGCCCUAGGUCCCUAGGUCGGGCGCCUCAGUCUCCGGCAGACACUGGUCAAAGCCUCACUUGUUCUUCUUCUCAUUCCCCUUCUCCUCCUCCUCCUCCUCCUCCUCCUCCUCCUCCUCNNNNNNNNNNNNNNNNNNNUCUUCUUCUUCUUCUUCUUCUUCUUCUUCUUCUUCUCUUAAUUUUUAUUCAUUUUUGAGAGAGAGAGGGAGAGAGCAAGCAGGGGAGGGGAAGAGAGAGGGAGACAAUAGACUCUGAAGCAGGUUCCAGGCUCUGAGCUGUCAGCACAAAGCCUGACCCAGUUUGAACUCACAAAGCAGGAGAUCAUGACCUGAGCUGAAGUCAGAUGCUUCGACUGAGCCACCCAGGCGCCCCUCAAAACCUCACUUCUGCCAUUCUCCCCACCAGCUGAGAGACCGGGAAUAUUUCCUGAUACUGCCUCUCUUUUGUUUUACAUGAAAUGACAGGCCUCGGCAGGGGACGGGGGGGUGGGGGAUGGCAUCUCACACCUUGGCAGGGUUAGUUGAACCCCAAACAUGAACCAUGGACUUUGAUUGUAAAGAAAAUUGCAUCGCUUUAUGGCAUGGAAUGAUUUCCAGGACUGUUCAUGAAAAUAGCAAGAUACAGAGAAAUGUAUAUAGUGUUCUACUUAUUUUAAAAGUUUACUUACUUAUUUUGAGAGAGAGAGAGAGAGAGAGAGAGAGAGAGAGAGAGAGAGAGAAGGGCAGAGAAAAGAGUGAGGCAGAGGCAGAGGGAGAGGGAGGAGAGAGAAUCCCAAGCAGGCUCUGCACUGUCAGUGGAGAGCCCAAUGUGGGGCUCAAACUCAUGGACAGUGAGAUCAUGAUCUGAGCUGAAACCAAUAGUUGGACACUUAACCAACUGAGCCACCCAGGUGCCACUGCUACUUUUUUUAAAAAUGUCUUUAAGUUUAUAUUUAAAUUCCAGUUAGUUAACAUACAGUGUAAUAUUAGUUUCAAGGGUACAAUAUAGUGAUUCAUCACUUUCAUACAACAUCAGGUGCUCAUCACAAGUGCUCUCCUUGAGCUUAUCAGCUCUCCUCUGAUAACCAUCAGUUUGUUCUCUAUAGUUAAGAGCCACUUUCUUGGUUUGCCUCUCUCUCUCUUUUUUUUCCCCUUUGCUCAUUUGUUUUGUUUCUUAAAUUUCACAUGAGUGAAGUCAUAUGGCAUUUGUCCUUCUCUGACUGAUUUAUUUUGCUUUGCAUAAUACUGUCUGGCUCCAUCCACAUCAUUGCAAAUGGCAAGAUUUCAUUCUUUUUUAUGUCCGAGUAAUAUUCCAUUAUAUAUAAAUACCACAUCUUCUUUAUCCAUUCAUCAGUCAGUGGACAUUUGGGUUGUUUCCCUAAUUUGUCCAUUGUAGAUAAUGCUGCUAUAAAUAUUGGGGUGCAUGUAUCCCUUUUGAUUAGUGUUUUUGUAUUCUUUGGGUGAAUACCUAGUAGUGCAAUUGCUGGGUCAUAGGGUGGUUCUAUUUUUAACUUUUUGAGGAGCCUCCAUACUGUUCUCCAGAGUGGCUGCACCAGUUUACAUUGCCACCAACAGUACAAGAGGGUUCCCCUUUCUCCACAUCCUUGCCAACACCUGUUGUUUCUUGUAUUGUUGAUUUUAGCCAUUCUGACAGGUGUGAGGUGAUAUCUCAUUGUAGUUUUGAUUUGUAUUUCCCUGAUGAUGAAUGUUGUUGAGCAUCUUUUCAUGUGUCUGUUGGCCAUCUGUAUGUCUUCUUUGGGAAAAUGUCUGUUCAUGUCUUCUGCCCAUUUUUGGUUUUUUGGGUGUUGAGUUUUGUAAGUUCUUUAUAUAUUUUGCAUACUAAAUAUGUAAAGACGCAUCAUUUUGCAAAUAUCUUCUCCCAUUCCAUAGGUUGCCUUUUCAUUUUAUUGUUUCCUUUGUUGUGCAGCUGCUUUUUAUUUUGAUGAAGACCCAAUAGUUUAUUUUUGCUUUUGUUUCCCUUACCUGAGGAGACAUAUCUAGAAAUAAGUUGCCACGGCCAAUGUCAAAGAAAUUACUGCUUGUAUUCUCCUCUAGGAUUUUUAUAAUUUCCCAUCUCACAUUUAGGUCUUUAAUCCAUUUUGAAUUUAUGUUUGUGUAUGGCAUAAGAAAGUGGUCCAGAUUCAUUCUUUUGCAUGUUGCUGUCCAGUUUUCCCAGCACCAUUUGUUGGAGAGACCACUUGUUGUCUUUUUUCCAUUGGAUAUUCUUUCCUGCUUUGUCAAAGAUUGACCAGAUAGUUGUGGGUUCAUUUCUGGGGUUUCUAUUCUGUUCUAUUGAUCUAUGUGUCUAUUUUUGUGCCAGUACUGUACUGUUUUGAUCACUGCAGCUUUGUAAUAUAAUGUGAAGUUCCGAAAUGUGAUGUCUCCAGCUUUUCUUUUUUUUUUCUUUUUUGAGAGACAGAGAGAGAGAGAGAGAGAGAGAGUACAAGUGAGCAAGGGGCAGACAGAUAAAGAGAAAAAGAAUCCCACGAGGGGCAGAGAGAGAGAGAGAGAGAGAGAGAGAGAGAGAGAGAGAGAAAUGGGGCUCACCCGGGGCUCAUGUUUUAACCAAAGUGGGGCUCGUGCUAACCUAAAACGGGGCUCAGGCUCACCUGAUGUGGAACUCAAACUCAUGAACUAUGAGAUCAUGACCUGAGCUGAAGUCAGAUCACCCAGGAGCCCUGCUUUUCUUUUUCAAGGUUGUUUGACUAUUGGGGGUCAGACUGAUAACCAGCAAAGAAACUGGUUCAGUAAUCAAAAAUCUCCCAACAAACAGAAGUCCAGGGCAGGAUAGCUUCACAGGUGAAUUCUACCAAACAUUUAAAGAAGAGUUAAUGCCUAUUCUUCUCAAACUAUUCCACAAAGUAGAAAAGGAAGGAAAACUUGCAAAUUCAUUCCAUGAGGUCAGCAUUACCCUGAUACCAAGACAGAUAAAGACUCAACUAAAAAAGGGAACUACAGGCCAAUAUCCCUGAUGAACAUGGAUACAAAAAUUCUCAAUAAAAUAAUGGCAAUCCAAAUCCAAGAAAACAUUAAAAAAUCAUUCACCACAAUCAAGUGGAAUUUAUUCCUGGGUUGCAAGGGUGGUUCAAUAUUUGCAAAUCAAUCAAUGUGGUACUCUAAAUUAAUAAAAGAAAGGAUAAAAACCAUAUAACCUCAAUAGAUGAAGAAAAAGCAUUUGACAAAGUAUAUCAUCCAUUCAUGAUAAAAACCUUCAACAAAGUAGGUUUAGAGGGAACGUUCCUCAACAUGAUAAAGGCCAUAUCUGAAAAACCCACAGCUAAUGUCAUCUUCAAUGGGGAACAACUGAGAGCUUUUCCUCUAUCAGGAAUAAGACAGGAAUGUCUCACCACUCUUGCCACUUUUAUGUAACAUAGUACUGGAAGUCCUAGCCUCAGCAAUCAAACACAAAGAAAUAAAAGGCAUCCAAAUUGGCAAGGAACAAGUCAAAACUUUCACUAUUUGCAGAUGAUAUGAUACUCUAUAUAGAAAAAGAAAGACUCCACAAAAAAGCUACCAGAAUGGAUACAUGAAUUCAGUAAAGUUGCAGGAUUCAAAAUCAAUAUACAGAAAUUGUUGCAUAUCUAUACACCAAUAAUGAAACAGUAGAAAGAGAAAUUAAAGAAUCAAUUCCAUUUACAGUUGUAUAAAAAAGCAAUAAGAUACCUAGGAAUAAACUUAAUGAAGGAAAUGAAAGACCUGUACUCUGAAAACUAUAAAACAUUGAUGAGAGAAAUUGAAGAAGACACAAAGAAAUGGAAGGACAUUCCAUGCUCAUGCAUUAGAAGAACAAAUAUUGUUAAAAUGUCUGCACUACCUAAAGCAAUCCAUACAUUUAAUGCAAUCCCUAUCAAAAUAUCACCAUUAUUUUUCACAGAGCUAGAACAAACAAUCCUAAAAUUUGUAUGGAACCACAGAAAGUCCCAAAUCACCAGUAUGCUCUUUUGUUUAAGCAUGGGAAGGGGGAGGUAGUAAGAAUAUAUAUAUUCACAUUUGCAUAUAAUUGCAUAAAGAAAUGCUGAAAAAGAUACACCAGAAAUAAAUAAAAGUGGGAAAAGUCCCUUCUGGGGACUAAGGAAUAGAGUUUGGAAACAGGGGUGGGAGUGAGACUUCCAAAUGUAUUCUUUUUGUUUAGAUUUGUGAACCAUAUGAUUGUACCACCCAUUAGACUAGUUAAAAAAUAAAAAUAAAUUAAUUCUAUAGUGUCUAAGUUGUAUGGUACAAAAAAACCACUCAUGGGAACCCAUUCAAUGUGGGGAGUGUGAGAAAAAUAACCUGGACUCCGUUACUGCUAGGAAUCAUGGGAUUGGUAAAGGAACAGAGCAGAGGCUCUUUCUGGGGUCCCCUAGUCUCUUUUCUGUGCUUCUGCCUUUCCGCCAAGUGGCUCCAAAUUUGAGUCUGUCUGGGCUCCUUCCAGUGCUCAGACUGCCCACCUACUCUGGCCCUGCACCAGAGUGCCUAAGUCUAGCCUUGCUCAUAUAGGAUUGGCCUCCCUCAUAGGUAUCAUCCAAUGAGAUGUGGCCAUGGGGCGGGGCUACGCAGCACAAACAGGGCUGACUAAGAUACCCCUCCCUCUUCAGUGGGAGCUGUGGUUGGAGACUAUUUCCCAAAAGAGGGGUUUGGGCAGUAAGACAGUGAUAGGCUUACUUGGUAUAUGCUGUUUCUGGAUGGGUCAGUCAGAGGUCAGGGCAAAGAUCCAGCCAGCAUUGUGGUCCCCUAGACAUGGGGGAGCAGAUGAAGUCUCCUGGAGAAAUGAGGCAGAGACACAGACUUGACUGUUAGGUUAAGAAUCUGUGUUACCUGGGCAAGUCCUUUCCCUUCUCUGGGCUUUAGUUUCUCAUUUGUGGCAAAAGGGAAUGGAACUAGAGGAUACUCUGGGGUUCCUUUGAUCUCUAAUGGGGAAGAAAGCAAAGUGCAGUGAAAAGAGCAUUGAACCAAGAGUGAGGAGACCUGGUUUGGAGUGUCUCCUUGGAGUGCCUUGCUGUUGGACUUUAAUUAGGUCACAUGACCUCCAUGAACCUCAGUUUCCUCUAUCAGAAAAGAGGAUAACACUCCCUGCAGAUUGCUGUUACAGUUAAAUAAACUCAUGGAUGUACAAGUGGCUUGUCAACCGUCCUGUGGGUGCAGGUAUGAGAGGUAAUUAUAAUAGCUACUGCCUCUAUAAAAUAGAAGCAUAACACCUUCCUUGUCUCUCUGUCAGGAUGACCGUGGGUGCAAAUGUGACAGUGUAGGCCUUGUGUAGGCACUGAGCCCUGGACUGGACACAAGAGCUGGGCUGUAUUGCUUGUUGAUUGUGUGACCCUGGCUAAGAGUCCUUCUUUUCUGGGCCUCCCUUUUUCACCUGUGGCCCGGGAAUGCUAUUUCCUGCCUCAUAGGUUGUAGUGAGAAUAGAUGAGAGGGUGAGCAUGAGGUAUGUGGUGUGGACUGUGUUGUGAUUUUCAGUGACAGGAAUGAUUAAUGGGACUAUUCCCUGGUUCCCCAACCCCUGGUUUGAAAGCCAAAGCCAAAGGUGGGUAUACUGUGAUGUCAAUUAAACUCACACAGAUCUUCUCCAAAGUCCUGUGAAGGAUCUUAGUGAUGCAUUUACAUGGUCACAAUGUUUCUGUAAAACUUACAGAAGUGAAAUGUUUCCAUUAAGAUCACUGCCUCUUCCACUGUAACUCCCAUGUCAUAUUUCCACCAUGUUGGACAUCUUUGGGACCCUGACCAAGGGGAAGUUGAAUUGAAGAUUUGGUUUAGUGGGAUAUAGUUAUGUACUUUACAAUCACUCUGAUGUAUAGCUAAAUUAUUGCUAGCCGUUUGGCAAUAAUACUCCUGCCCAGCAAUACCCACCAUGCCAACUCACCCAUUAUCAUGACAAAAAGGUGCAGACCAGAGGUCAUACUGAAAUAUGUAUUUAUAUGAAAUAUGAAUGUGUCAGCACCCAGUACUGGCAGGUUGUGGAGGAGAAACAAGGUUUGAAAUGUACAGAACCAGAGCUGGUCGGUAAAAAAUGCUUCCACCAUCAGAACAUAGGACUCAUUUCUCAUGGAUGCCCGGUCAAAAUGGAAAUUCUCUCCUCUCAAAGAAUGUCAGAAUUCCAUCGUUAGUAGGGCUUGUGUACUGUAGGAGUCCUACAAGUAGCAAGUACUUCUGGGUAAAGUUGUAUGUUUUAUGCAUCUCAUUAUAUGGAAUCACAUCUCAGUGUAACUGAUGCAUCUUGUCCUGAUGUGGUCUGGUAUUUCCAGAUGAAAUGGCACACGAAAUCCCCAACAGAACAAGACGGCCCAGAGAAACAAGUGUUCCAGUGACAAAACUCCUACACAUACUCAUCAAUAACUACAGUGUACAUAGCGCAAGAGUAAUUUUCUUACACAAUUAUGUAGCUAAAAACAAUGUAGCAGCAAUUUAAGAAUGCAUCUGAAUUGCUCUGGUUAAUGAGCCAUCAAUUCCAAAUAUUUAAGACUGGUCCUCCCCCUGCAAUCUUACAGCUCACUUAUGAAAGAUAUUUGAUAGAGGUUUCCCCCAAUUUGGCAACAAUCCUGAAAAUUUCCAACUUUAUCAAUAAGUCGUGAAGCCGAAAGAAACUUUUGGGGGAAUUUUGUGUUAUUUGGGGGGAUUUUGUCAUAUUUGUACUAUGUCAGCUUUUCUUAUACAUUGUUUUUUUGGUUGUUUUGGUUUCUUUUCUCAUUCCCAGUAAUUAUUCAUGUUCAUACCUGAUUUUGUAUUUAUAAUUUUUAUUAUUUUCUUUACAGAAAUCCUCCAAUGUACACAAGCCUAAGGGCCCACAAAACGUGGAUCUGCUGUGGCCUGAGGAGCGGCACUGACUCACCCUCUGGAGACCACACCAGAACUCCUGUCCCUCCUGCCCUCCCGUGGGUGAGCCCUGGGUGAGCCCUUGCACGCCCCACCAGCACAGCAUGCACUACCGCUGUCACUGCUCUCAAGCCGCAGCGCCCCUCCUGGGCCCAGCGGGCAGCAGCCACAUGUCCCAGGGGGAAUGAGUCUCCGGAGCCCUCACCCUCCUGCACACUCCCCUGUUCAGCUUUCUGAUGGGUCUAGACGAUCUCACACCUUCUCUUUUGCUCCUCAGCACCAUCAAGACAAAAGAGUCUGGCAUCCAAGGCCCUUGUGGGUCUAGUUUUAUUUUACAUGGACAAUGGGGUUUUAUUUUAUGUUUUUUGAAAUGGGAUUUUAAAAAUUAAAUUUCCUUGCAGAAGAAGGCUGAUAAACAGGAACGCAAUUUUAUAUCUGGUCACCACAUUAAUUGUUUAAUGUUUUCUAUUUUUUUCCCCUAUUGAUUCUUCAGGAAUUUCUAGGAAGACAAGCACGUCAUCUGCAAAUAGCCAUGUGGUCAAUUCCUUGCCAAUAUUUAUCCUUCUGUACCAGUCAGAAGUUCUGUUUGCAAACAACAGAAACCAGCUCUACUUAAACUAACAUGGGAAGGUUAUUGGGAGAGACAAACUCGGAGCAGCCAAAAUAACCAAUAAAGUCCUAUUACAGUUCUGCCUGCUUUUCAUGCUUAUAGUGCCCCCACCACCACCACCACCACCAAAGUUCCAGCCUGCCAAACUGACGAUGUUUUCACUCUUUUAUUGUUA
Molecule: long non-coding RNA, 17872 nt
Filed under: Lynx pardinus (Iberian lynx)
Lineage: Eukaryota; Metazoa; Chordata; Mammalia; Carnivora; Felidae
Source: RNAcentral